Molecule: ribosomal RNA, 426 nt
Filed under: uncultured bacterium
Lineage: Bacteria
Description: partial 16S ribosomal RNA
Rfam family: Bacterial small subunit ribosomal RNA
Source: RNAcentral
GUGAGGAAUUUUCCGCAAUGGGCGAAAGCCUGACGGAGCAAUGCCGCGUGAAGGAUGAAGGCCUAUGGGUUGUAAACUUCUUUUCUCAGAAAAGAAUUAUGACGGUAUCUGAGGAAUAAGCAUCGGCUAACUCUGUGCCAGCAGCCGCGGUAAGACAGAGGAUGCAAGCGUUAUCAGGAAUGAUUGGGCGUAAAGCGUCUGUAGGUUGUUUAAAAAGUAUUCAGUCAAAGAUUAGGGCUUAACCCUAGCUAGGAAGAAUAAACUUUUAAGCUAGAGUUUGGUAGAGGCAGAUGGAGUUCCCGGUGGAGCGGUGAAAUGCGUAGAUAUCGGGUGGAACACCAAAGGCGAAGGCACUCUGCUGGGCCAAUACUAACACUGGGAGACGAAAGCGAGGGGAGCAAAUGGGAUUAGAAACCCGGGUAGUCC